RNAcentral lists this ribosomal RNA (377 nucleotides) under uncultured bacterium. Its description in RNAcentral is "bacterial SSU rRNA". It matches the Rfam family "Bacterial small subunit ribosomal RNA", at positions 30 to 412 of the family's 1533-position model. The record is from RNAcentral.
AUUGAACGCUGGCGGAAUGCUUUACACAUGCAAGUCGAGCGGCAGCGCGGGGCAACCUGGCGGCGAGCGCGAACGGGUGAGUAAUACAUCGGAACGUGCCCAGACGUGGGGGAUAACUACUCGAAAGAGUGGCUAAUACCGCAUACGAUCUAAGGAUGAAAGCGGGGAUCGCAAGACCUCGCGCGUUUGGAGCGGCCGAUGGCAGAUUAGGUAGUUGGUGGGGUAAAGGCUUACCAAGCCCGCGAUCUGUAGCUGGUCUGAGAGGAUGAUCAGCCACACUGGGACUGAGACACGGCCCAGACUCCUACGGGAGGCAGCAGUGGGGAAUUUUGGACAAUGGGCGAAGCCUGAUCCAGCCAUUCCGCGUGCAGGAUGAA